GAUGAACGCUAGCGGCAGGCCUAACACAUGCAAGUCGAGGGGCAACGAGAUGGUAGCAAUACCAUUGUCGGCGACCGGCGAACGGGUGCGUAACGCGUGAACAACUUGCCGGACACAGGGGGAUAAUCGUCGGAAACGUCGUCUGAUAUCCCAUAACAUUGGCAUGGGCAUCCAUGUUGAUUGAAAGCAUUUAUGCGGUGUCUGAUAGGUUCGCGUGACAUUAGCUAGUCGGUGGGGCAACGGCCCACCGAGGCGACGAUGUCUGGGGGUUCUGAGAGGAAGGCCCCCCACACUGGGACUGAGACACGGCCCAGACUCCUACGGGAGGCAGCAGUGAGGGAUAUUGGACAAUGGGCGGAAGCCUGAUCCAGCCAUGCCGCGUGAAGGAAUAAGGUCCUAUGGGUCGUAAACUUCUUUUGACGCAGAGCAAUAAGGGACACGUGUGUUCCGAUGAGAGUAUGCGUCGAAUAAGCAUCGGCUAACUCCGUGCCAGCAGCCGCGGUAAUACGGAGGAUGCGAGCGUUAUCCGGAUUUAUUGGGUUUAAAGGGUGCGUAGGCUGUUGGAUAAGUCAGCGGUGAAAUCACCACGCUCAACGUGUUGUGUGCCGUUGAAACUGUCCAGCUUGAAUGCGCUCGUCGUGAGAGGAAUGUGUGGUGUAGCGGUGAAAUGCAUAGAUAUCACACAGAACACCGAUUGCGAAGGCAUCUCACGAGAGCGUUAUUGACGCUGAUGCACGAAAGCGCGGGUAUCGAACAGGAUUAGAUACCCUGGUAGUCCGCGCUGUAAACGAUGAUGACUAACCGUUGGUCUGGUAUGGAUCAGUGGUCAAGCGAAAGCGUUAAGUCAUCCACCUGGGGAGUACGGCCGCAAGGCUGAAACUCAAAGGAAUUGACGGGGGCCCGCACAAGCGGAGGAACAUGUGGUUUAAUUCGAUGAUACGCGAGGAACCUUACCCGGGCUCGAACGGCGGAUGAAUAUGUUUGAGAGAGCAUAGUCGCAAGACAUCCGUCGAGGUGCUGCAUGGUUGUCGUCAGCUCGUGCCGUGAGGUGUCGGCUUAAGUGCCAUAACGAGCGCAACCCUUGCCGUCAGUUGCCAUCAGGAAAAGCUGGGGACUCUGUCGGGACUGCCACCGCAAGGUGUGAGGAAGGGGGGGAUGACGUCAAAUCAGCACGGCCCUUACGUCCGGGGCUACACACGUGUUACAAUGGCGACUACAGAGGGGAGCCACCCGGUGACGGGGCGCCGAUCUCCAAAAGUCGUCUCAGUUCGGACUGGAGUCUGCAACCCGACUCCACGAAGCUGGAUUCGCUAGUAAUCGCACAUCAGCCAUGGUGCGGUGAAUACGUUCCCGGGCCUUGUACACACCGCCCGUCAAGCCAUGAGAGCCAGGGGCGCCUGAAGCGCGUGACCGUCAAGGAGCGUUCAAGGGCGAACCAGGUGAUUGGGGCUAAGUCGUAACAAGGUAGCCGUACCGGAAGGUGU
Molecule: ribosomal RNA, 1484 nt
Filed under: Bacteroidales oral clone MCE3_262
Lineage: Bacteria; Pseudomonadati; Bacteroidota; Bacteroidia; Bacteroidales
Description: bacterial SSU rRNA
Rfam family: Bacterial small subunit ribosomal RNA
Source: RNAcentral